RNAcentral lists this ribosomal RNA (500 nucleotides) under uncultured bacterium. RNAcentral describes it as "partial 16S ribosomal RNA". It matches the Rfam family "Bacterial small subunit ribosomal RNA", at positions 30 to 523 of the family's 1533-position model. The record is from RNAcentral.
AUUGAACGCUGGCGGUAUGCCUUACACAUGCAAGUCGAACGGCAGCACGGGAGCAAUCCUGGUGGCGAGUGGCGAACGGGUGAGUAAAGUAUCGGAACGUGCCCAGUCGUGGGGGAUAACGUAGCGAAAGUUACGCUAAUACCGCAUACGAUCUAUGGAUGAAAGCGGGGGAUCGCAAGACCUCGCGCGAUUGGAGCGGCCGAUAUCAGAUUAGGUAGUUGGUGGGGUAAAGGCUCACCAAGCCGACGAUCUGUAGCUGGUCUGAGAGGACAACCAGCCACACUGGGACUGAGACACGGCCCAGACUCCUACGGGAGGCAGCAGUGGGGAAUUUUGGACAAUGGGCGAAAGCCUGAUCCAGCCAUGCCGCGUGCAGGAUGAAGGCCUUCGGGUUGUAAACUGCUUUUGUACGGAACGAAAAGGUUUGGCCUAAUAAGCUGAGCUCAUGACGGUACCGUAAGAAUAAGCACCGGCUAACUACGUGCCAGCAGCCGCGGUAA